GCUGAUGAACCAACUGGGGAUAG
RNAcentral lists this non-coding RNA (23 nucleotides) under Cricetulus griseus (Chinese hamster). Lineage: Eukaryota; Metazoa; Chordata; Mammalia; Rodentia; Cricetidae. The record is from RNAcentral.